Coregonus clupeaformis (lake whitefish) is the source of this 769-nucleotide long non-coding RNA. RefSeq lists it as uncharacterized. The transcript is spliced from 4 exons. NCBI's taxonomy places the organism in Eukaryota, Metazoa, Chordata, Actinopteri, Salmoniformes, Salmonidae. The record is from RefSeq and is a predicted model, not a curated record.
UGACUUGGGUCAUUGAUGGCCUGACGCGCCAAAUCUCCCCCCACGCGUGGCUGCAUCAUGUUCUGAACGUGGCGAACCAGUUACCAACAACUGCGCCGAACUUUGGGCAACAGGUUUUGAACAGUUAUGGUGGGAUGUGUGGAUGGCCGGGUCAAACAUCUUUUACAAUGUCCUACACAGGGCUCCCUUGACCUGUCAAACAGCCUUCACCUAUUCUGUGCGCGCUAUGUAUUCCUCCCAUGACUCCAAGCAGACCUAGACAGCUUUACCAAUGGAUGGGAUAAACAUUCUCUGCACAUUGAGCAAAAUCUGACCCCCAACCAGCUAUGGGAAAUGGGACAAGCACAGAAUCCUGUCACCUUCCCUGGCAAUGUGGAGGAUUUAAACAACUUGGACGGGGAUGAUGCCUGCCUCCCAGAGGAGCAUGGCCAGGGAAUUGUGAUCCCACAAGUGGAGUGCCACUGACAGCAGGAUAUGACACUGCUCAGAGCAGCCAUCGACCCAACCUCACCAUCUCGAGACUAUGGACAAGAUAUUUAUGCAUCUGUUUUGAACUAUGUGCUGCUACUUAUGGCUGAAUGAUUCAUAUAUCUCUGCUUGUACCCAAGGGCACAAUGGCCACUGGCCGCAAAAGGCAUGUUUUUUUUUAGGGGGCAUUAUGGCCAUACAAAGGGGAGGCUGCCGGGAAAUUUGUGGCAUUAUCAAGUGCUUGUCAAAUUGUGAAUGAGAGACUUAAGUGUGUACAGCCUGCGCAAAAAACAAAGCAGAG